Molecule: ribosomal RNA, 380 nt
Filed under: uncultured bacterium
Lineage: Bacteria
Description: bacterial SSU rRNA
Rfam family: Bacterial small subunit ribosomal RNA
Source: RNAcentral
GACGAACGCUGGCGGCGUGCUUAACACAUGCAAGUCGAGCGGUAAGGCCCUUUCGGGGGUACACGAGCGGCGAACGGGUGAGUAACACGUGGGUGACCUGCCCUCAGCUCUGGGAUAAGCCUGGGAAACCGGGUCUAAUACUGGAUAUGACUCCAUGACGCAUGUUGUGGGGUGGAAAGCCUUGUGCGGCUGAGGAUGGGCCCGCGGCCUAUCAGCUUGUUGGUGGGGUGANGGCCUACCAAGGCGACGACGGGUAGCCGGCCUGAGAGGGCGACCGGCCACACUGGGACUGAGACACGGCCCAGACUCCUACGGGAGGCAGCAGUGGGGAAUCUUGCGCAAUGGGCGAAAGCCUGACGCAGCGACGCCGCGUGAGGGAU